CUAGCCCCACCAGCAGUCCCUGCCAGUCUGUGGGUGCCAGUCUCUGGUACAGGCCACCCCAGGAAGGCCCUGUCAGUUUCCAUCUUCCUAAGACGUGUGGCCCCUCUCAUCUGCAGAACUCUCCUGUCUCGUGUUUAUACCUUUUAAAACUGUUUUGCCAUCAUUUUUAUGAAGUUUCCAGAGGAAGCAGAGGACAAAGCUGCAAGGGAAACGCUUACUCUUCCUAAAAGGCCGUGUGUGAGCAGCAGCCCGCCCCCCGGAUCCCAUCAGGACCCUCUUCCCUGCAGCCUGGGGAUGUGGUGCCUCGGGCCUCCCAGAGCAGCCCUGAGCCCCGCUGGGCCCCAGCACCCUCCAAGCCCGCCCGGCAGCCUGCUGGAGAAUCACGGUCCCCCAGGUCCGAGGCCUCAGAAGCAAUGGCAGGCAGGAUGGAGCUCUUCCUGCGGAACCUUGGGGCUCUGUUCUCGGAGUCUCCGGGUCUCUGAUCCUGGGUGAGUGAAUCCCACUGUGGGAGCUCAAUCCCACCCUGGAGUCUCCUGUCCUUGCCCUGCAGGGUCACCGGGAGGGAGCAACAGCGCCUUAUCCGGUUGAGGACACCAGGGCCGGCGGAGUCCACCCACUGACCCACCCAUCCUUCUCGGCACGGGACUGCAGUGACCUGGAGGCCAAGCCGGCCCUGG
This is a non-coding RNA of Odocoileus virginianus texanus, 677 nucleotides long. The record is from RefSeq and is a predicted model, not a curated record. NCBI's taxonomy places the organism in Eukaryota, Metazoa, Chordata, Mammalia, Artiodactyla, Cervidae.